UACAGAGGGUGCAAGCGUUAAUCGGAGUUACUGGGCGUAAAGGGCGCGUAGGUGGUUGUUUAAGUGAGAUGUGAAAGCCCUGGGCUUAACCUAGGAACUGCAUCUUAUACUGGGCAACUGGAGUACUGUAGAGGGUAGUGGAAUUUCCGGUGUAGCGGUGAAAUGCGUAGAGAUCGGAAGGAACACCAGUGGCGAAGGCGGCUACCUGGACAGAUACUGACACUGAGGCGCGAAAGCGUGGGGAGCAAACAGG
This 253-nucleotide ribosomal RNA is filed under the name uncultured bacterium. RNAcentral's name for it is "partial 16S ribosomal RNA". It matches the Rfam family "Bacterial small subunit ribosomal RNA", at positions 524 to 776 of the family's 1533-position model. The record is from RNAcentral.